Molecule: ribosomal RNA, 491 nt
Filed under: uncultured bacterium
Lineage: Bacteria
Description: bacterial SSU rRNA
Rfam family: Bacterial small subunit ribosomal RNA
Source: RNAcentral
GAUGAACGCUAGCUACAGGCUUAACACAUGCAAGUCGAGGGGAAACGACAUCGAAAGCUUGCUUUGGUGGGCGUCGACCGGCGCACGGGUGAGUAACGCGUAUCCAACCUGCCCACCACUUGGGGAUAACCUUGCGAAAGUAAGACUAAUACCCAAUGAUAUCCCACGAAGGCAUCCGAAUGGGAUUAAAGAUUUAUCGGUGAUGGAUGGGGAUGCGUCUGAUUAGCUUGUUGGCGGGGUAACGGCCCACCAAGGCUACGAUCAGUAGGGGUUCUGAGAGGAAGGUCCCCCCACAUUGGAACUGAGACACGGUCCAAACUCCUACGGAAGGCAGCAGUGAGGAAUAUUGGUCAAUGGGCGCAAGCCUGAACCAGCCAAGUAGCGUGAGGGAAGACUGCCCUACGGGUUGUAAACCUCUUUUGUUUGGGAAUAAAGUGCGGGACGCGUCCGCAUUGCAUGUACCAUUUGAAUAAGGACCGGCUAAUUCCGUG